Molecule: ribosomal RNA, 882 nt
Filed under: Triticum aestivum (bread wheat)
Lineage: Eukaryota; Viridiplantae; Streptophyta; Magnoliopsida; Poales; Poaceae
Description: partial small subunit ribosomal RNA
Source: RNAcentral
AUGACGAAGACGAUGCCGCGUGAUUCUUCAGCGAGUGGAGCGUUGGUGCCGAGCGACUCGUCAGCGACGGCGGCUGCGGCGGCGACGGCGGCGGCAAGGAAGCUCCCGUUCCCGCUGCUCACGAGGACGAACUACGCGGCGUGGGCGAUGAGGAUGAAGUACCUCUUGCGCGCCAAUGGCGCGUGGGGGGCCGUUGAUCGCGAGGCGUCGGCCUCGGAGGUCGACAAGGGCAAGGAGGAGAUGGCCAUGAUGAUCAUCUCCCAGUCGAUCGACGACACGACGCUGCUGCGCGUUGCUGAGAAGGAGACCGCCGCCGAUGUGUGGGUGGCGCUACGCUCCAUGCACGUUGGCGUCGAGCGCGUCCGAGAGGCGAGGAUUCAGUCCUUGCGCUCGGAGUUUGAUGGCCUCAAGAUGGGCGAUGCGGAGUCCGUGGAUGAUUUCGCGGCGAGGUUCACGACGCUCGUGGGGUGCAUCCGUGAGCUUGGUGAUGCGAUGGAGGAGAAGUACGUCGUGAAGAAGCUGCUCCGAGCCGUCUCCAACAAGUUCAUCCACGUUGCGUCAUCGAUUGCAUUGUUCGGCGACACCAACAAGAUGGCCAUGGAGGAGGCCAUUGGUUCACUCAAGGCACACGAGGAACUCGUCAAGGAGCGGGAGACAGGACGUGAAGAAGAGCAGCUCCUCAUGGCGAGAGGGCAAGACUCGUCGCGAGGAUGGGGUCGUGGCCGUGGACGCGGUGGAGGACGCAAAGACAAAAGUGAGGUACAGUGUUACAAUUCUCGUCAACUUGGUCACUUUACUUGGGAGUGUCCGGAGAAGAAGAAGGAGAAUGAGGAGAAGGCGCUGCUGGCCAGCUACGGCAGCGACGGACCGGCUCUCCUUUGA